AGCGAACGCUGGCGGCAGGCUUAACACAUGCAAGUCGAACGCACCCUUCGGGGUGAGUGGCAGACGGGUGAGUAACACGUGGGAAUGUACCUUUCGGUUCGGAACAACUCCGGGAAACUGGAGCUAAUACCGGAUAAGCCCUUACGGGGAAAGAUUUAUCGCCGAAAGAUCAGCCCGCGUCCGAUUAGCUAGUUGGUGGGGUAAUGGCCCACCAAGGCGACGAUCGGUAGCUGGUCUGAGAGGAUGAUCAGCCACACUGGGACUGAGACACGGCCCAGACUCCUACGGGAGGCAGCAGUGGGGAAUAUUGGACAAUGGGCGGCAAGCCUGAUCCAGCCAUGCCGCGUGAGUGAUGAAGGCCCUAGGGUUGUAAAGCUCUUUCGGCGGGGAAGAUAAUGACGGUACCCGCAGAAGAAGCCCCGGCUAACUUCGUGCCAGCAGCCGCAGU
This 448-nucleotide ribosomal RNA is filed under the name uncultured bacterium. RNAcentral describes it as "bacterial SSU rRNA". It matches the Rfam family "Bacterial small subunit ribosomal RNA", at positions 29 to 521 of the family's 1533-position model. The record is from RNAcentral.